UGCCAGCAGCCGCGGUAAUACGGGGGGAGCAAGCGUUGUCCGGAAUCACUGGGCGUAAAGGGCGUGUAGGCGGCAUGACAAGUCUGGUGUGAAAUAUCUCGGCUCAACCGAGAAAACGCACUGGAAACUGUCAAGCUUGAGUAUCGGAGGGGAAGCUAGAAUUCCUGGUGUAGGGGUGAAAUCUGUAGAUAUCAGGAAGAAUACCGGUGGCGAAGGCGAGCUUCUGGCCAGAUACUGACGCUGAGAUGCGAAAGCGUGGGGAGCGAACAGGAUUAGAUA
Molecule: ribosomal RNA, 279 nt
Filed under: uncultured bacterium
Lineage: Bacteria
Description: partial 16S ribosomal RNA
Rfam family: Bacterial small subunit ribosomal RNA
Source: RNAcentral